GACGAACGCUGGCGGCGUGCUUAACGCAUGCAAGUCGAACGGUAAGGCCCUUCGGGGUACACGAGUGGCGAACGGGUGAGUAACACGUGGGUGAUCUGCCCUGCACUUCGGGAUAAGCCUGGGAAACUGGGUCUAAUACCGGAUAGGACUCCGGACUGCAUGGUCUGGGGUGGAAAGCUUUUGCGGUGUGGGAUGGGCCCGCGGCCUAUCAGCUUGUUGGUGGGGUGAUGGCCCACCAAGGCGACGACGGGUAGCCGGACUGAGAGGGUGACCGGCCACGCUGGGACUGAGAUACGGCCCAGACUCCUACGGGAGGCAGGAGUGGGGAAUAUUGCACAAUGGGCGCAAGCCUGAUGCAGCGACGCCGCGUGAGGGAUGACGGCCUUCGGGUUGUAAACCUCUUUCAGCAUCGACGAAGCGAAAGUGACGGUAGGUGCAGAAGAAGGACCGGCCAACUACGUGCCAGCCGCCGCAGUAA
Molecule: ribosomal RNA, 478 nt
Filed under: uncultured bacterium
Lineage: Bacteria
Description: partial 16S ribosomal RNA
Rfam family: Bacterial small subunit ribosomal RNA
Source: RNAcentral